GCUCCAUUAGUAUUAAACAGUACAGUUGACUUCCAAUCAACCAGAUUCGGUACAAACCCGAAAUGGAACA
RNAcentral lists this transfer RNA (70 nucleotides) under Dasypus kappleri (great long-nosed armadillo). RNAcentral describes it as "tRNA-Gly". Lineage: Eukaryota; Metazoa; Chordata; Mammalia; Cingulata; Dasypodidae. The record is from RNAcentral.